RNAcentral lists this long non-coding RNA (290 nucleotides) under Salvia miltiorrhiza (redroot sage). Its description in RNAcentral is "long non-coding RNA (SMIL_LNC001976)". The record is from RNAcentral. Lineage: Eukaryota; Viridiplantae; Streptophyta; Magnoliopsida; Lamiales; Lamiaceae.
GCGGAUUGCUUGGCUUCCUCGGUGGUGGAAGAAGGUUACUGGAAUUUUGCGAUCCCGGAGAUUCUCCAUCUGGUUCGCGAUGACAGAAGACAGUUGCCUUACAUUCGGAUUGUCACUUGAGGUGUUCUUCUCUCUUUUUCCCUGCCUCUUACUUUUUGAUUCCGUUUGCUCUUGUUGCUACCUGCACGGGAUUUCAUCUUCUCCUUUUCAGACUUUUUACCUCUCUUGCGCCUUUGGUUCUGUUUGGAUCAUCGAGGAUCUGGUCUGUGUUUGGUGGUGGUUGGUCUGGG